This 662-nucleotide ribosomal RNA is filed under the name Lecidella aff. euphorea ZX YN0186-2. Its description in RNAcentral is "SSU rRNA". It matches the Rfam family "Bacterial small subunit ribosomal RNA", at positions 452 to 1130 of the family's 1533-position model. The record is from RNAcentral. Lineage: Eukaryota; Fungi; Ascomycota; Lecanoromycetes; Lecanorales; Lecanoraceae.
AAUUCUAGGUAGAAUUAUGAUAAUGACAUUAUCUGCCUACAUGUCUUGACCAAAUUACGUGCCAGCAGUCGCGGUAAUACGUAGAAGACUAGUGUUAUUCAUCUUUAAUAGGUUUAAAGGGUACCUAGACAGUAAAUCAAGCCUGCGAGGGGACUAGUUUACUAGAGUUACUUGUGAGGGGGUAUUAAAGUACUAAUGGUGUAGAGAUGAAAUUCUGUCAUACCUCUUUUCGGAAGAAAAAUUAUGGCACAGGUAUAGGCGAAAGCAUCCCCUUAUGUGAUAACUGACGUUGAAGGACGAAGGCUUUGUGUCGCGAACAGGAUUAGAUACCCCAGUAGUCAAAGCAGAAAAUGAUGAAUGUCAUAGAUUAGACAUAUAAUAGUUUAUUCUAUAAAUGAAAGUGUAAGCAUUCCACCUCAAGAGUAAUUUGGCAACAUUGGAACUGAAAUCAUUAGACCGUUUCUGAAACCAGUAGUGAAGUAUGUUGUUUAAUUUGAUAAUCCGCAAAAAACCUUACCACAACUUGAAUAUUUAUGUUUACUUUUUUAUAAAAAGAGAUAUAUUUACAAGCGUUGCACGGCUGUCUUCAGUUAAUGUCGUGAGAUUUUGGUUAGUUCCAUUAAAUUAACGUAAACCCUUGCUUUAUUUUUAUAUAAAGUAGU